This 492-nucleotide ribosomal RNA is filed under the name uncultured bacterium. RNAcentral's name for it is "partial 16S ribosomal RNA". It matches the Rfam family "Bacterial small subunit ribosomal RNA", at positions 29 to 507 of the family's 1533-position model. The record is from RNAcentral.
AGUGAACGCUGGCGGUAGGCCUAACACAUGCAAGUCGAACGGCAGCACAGUAAGAGCUUGCUCUUACGGGUGGCGAGUGGCGGACGGGUGAGGAAUACAUCGGAAUCUACUUUUUCGUGGGGGAUAACGUAGGGAAACUUACGCUAAUACCGCAUACGACCUACGGGUGAAAGCAGGGGAUCUUCGGACCUUGCGCGAUUGAAUGAGCCGAUGUCGGAUUAGCUAGUUGGCGGGGUAAAGGCCCACCAAGGCGACGAUCCGUAGCUGGUCUGAGAGGAUGAGCAGCCACACUGGAACUGAGACACGGUCCAGACUCCUACGGGAGGCAGCAGUGGGGAAUAUUGGACAAUGGGCGCAAGCCUGAUCCAGCCAUACCGCGUGGGUGAAGAAGGCCUUAGGGUUGUAAAGCCCUUUUGUUGGGAAAGAAAAGCAGCAGGUUAAUACCCCGCUGUUCUGACGGUACCCAAAGAAUAAGCACCGGCUAGCUUCGUG